RNAcentral lists this ribosomal RNA (2923 nucleotides) under Staphylococcus aureus. Its description in RNAcentral is "23S ribosomal RNA". It matches the Rfam family "Bacterial large subunit ribosomal RNA". Lineage: Bacteria; Bacillati; Bacillota; Bacilli; Caryophanales; Staphylococcaceae. The record is from RNAcentral.
GAUUAAGUUAUUAAGGGCGCACGAUGGAUGCCUUGGCACUAGAAGCCGAUGAAGGACGUUACUAACGACGAUAUGCUUUGGGGAGCUGUAAGUAAGCUUUGAUCCAGAGAUUUCCGAAUGGGGAAACCCAGCAUGAGUUAUGUCAUGUUAUCGAUAUGUGAAUACAUAGCAUAUCAGAAGGCACACCCGGAGAACUGAAACAUCUUAGUACCCGGAGGAAGAGAAAGAAAAUUCGAUUCCCUUAGUAGCGGCGAGCGAAACGGGAAGAGCCCAAACCAACAAGCUUGCUUGUUGGGGUUGUAGGACACUCUAUACGGAGUUACAAAGGACGACAUUAGACGAAUCAUCUGGAAAGAUGAAUCAAAGAAGGUAAUAAUCCUGUAGUCGAAAAUGUUGUCUCUCUUGAGUGGAUCCUGAGUACGACGGAGCACGUGAAAUUCCGUCGGAAUCUGGGAGGACCAUCUCCUAAGGCUAAAUACUCUCUAGUGACCGAUAGUGAACCAGUACCGUGAGGGAAAGGUGAAAAGCACCCCGGAAGGGGAGUGAAAUAGAACCUGAAACCGUGUGCUUACAAGUAGUCAGAGCCCGUUAAUGGGUGAUGGCGUGCCUUUUGUAGAAUGAACCGGCGAGUUACGAUUUGAUGCAAGGUUAAGCAGUAAAUGUGGAGCCGUAGCGAAAGCGAGUCUGAAUAGGGCGUUUAGUAUUUGGUCGUAGACCCGAAACCAGGUGAUCUACCCUUGGUCAGGUUGAAGUUCAGGUAACACUGAAUGGAGGACCGAACCGACUUACGUUGAAAAGUGAGCGGAUGAACUGAGGGUAGCGGAGAAAUUCCAAUCGAACCUGGAGAUAGCUGGUUCUCUCCGAAAUAGCUUUAGGGCUAGCCUCAAGUGAUGAUUAUUGGAGGUAGAGCACUGUUUGGACGAGGGGCCCCUCUCGGGUUACCGAAUUCAGACAAACUCCGAAUGCCAAUUAAUUUAACUUGGGAGUCAGAACAUGGGUGAUAAGGUCCGUGUUCGAAAGGGAAACAGCCCAGACCACCAGCUAAGGUCCCAAAAUAUAUGUUAAGUGGAAAAGGAUGUGGCGUUGCCCAGACAACUAGGAUGUUGGCUUAGAAGCAGCCAUCAUUUAAAGAGUGCGUAAUAGCUCACUAGUCGAGUGACACUGCGCCGAAAAUGUACCGGGGCUAAACAUAUUACCGAAGCUGUGGAUUGUCCUUUGGACAAUGGUAGGAGAGCGUUCUAAGGGCGUUGAAGCAUGAUCGUAAGGACAUGUGGAGCGCUUAGAAGUGAGAAUGCCGGUGUGAGUAGCGAAAGACGGGUGAGAAUCCCGUCCACCGAUUGACUAAGGUUUCCAGAGGAAGGCUCGUCCGCUCUGGGUUAGUCGGGUCCUAAGCUGAGGCCGACAGGCGUAGGCGAUGGAUAACAGGUUGAUAUUCCUGUACCACCUAUAAUCGUUUUAAUCGAUGGGGGGACGCAGUAGGAUAGGCGAAGCGUGCGAUUGGAUUGCACGUCUAAGCAGUAAGGCUGAGUAUUAGGCAAAUCCGGUACUCGUUAAGGCUGAGCUGUGAUGGGGAGAAGACAUUGUGUCUUCGAGUCGUUGAUUUCACACUGCCGAGAAAAGCCUCUAGAUAGAAAAUAGGUGCCCGUACCGCAAACCGACACAGGUAGUCAAGAUGAGAAUUCUAAGGUGAGCGAGCGAACUCUCGUUAAGGAACUCGGCAAAAUGACCCCGUAACUUCGGGAGAAGGGGUGCUCUUUAGGGUUAACGCCCAGAAGAGCCGCAGUGAAUAGGCCCAAGCGACUGUUUAUCAAAAACACAGGUCUCUGCUAAACCGUAAGGUGAUGUAUAGGGGCUGACGCCUGCCCGGUGCUGGAAGGUUAAGAGGAGUGGUUAGCUUCUGCGAAGCUACGAAUCGAAGCCCCAGUAAACGGCGGCCGUAACUAUAACGGUCCUAAGGUAGCGAAAUUCCUUGUCGGGUAAGUUCCGACCCGCACGAAAGGCGUAACGAUUUGGGCACUGUCUCAACGAGAGACUCGGUGAAAUCAUAGUACCUGUGAAGAUGCAGGUUACCCGCGACAGGACGGAAAGACCCCGUGGAGCUUUACUGUAGCCUGAUAUUGAAAUUCGGCACAGCUUGUACAGGAUAGGUAGGAGCCUUUGAAACGUGAGCGCUAGCUUACGUGGAGGCGCUGGUGGGAUACUACCCUAGCUGUGUUGGCUUUCUAACCCGCACCACUUAUCGUGGUGGGAGACAGUGUCAGGCGGGCAGUUUGACUGGGGCGGUCGCCUCCUAAAAGGUAACGGAGGCGCUCAAAGGUUCCCUCAGAAUGGUUGGAAAUCAUUCAUAGAGUGUAAAGGCAUAAGGGAGCUUGACUGCGAGACCUACAAGUCGAGCAGGGUCGAAAGACGGACUUAGUGAUCCGGUGGUUCCGCAUGGAAGGGCCAUCGCUCAACGGAUAAAAGCUACCCCGGGGAUAACAGGCUUAUCUCCCCCAAGAGUUCACAUCGACGGGGAGGUUUGGCACCUCGAUGUCGGCUCAUCGCAUCCUGGGGCUGUAGUCGGUCCCAAGGGUUGGGCUGUUCGCCCAUUAAAGCGGUACGCGAGCUGGGUUCAGAACGUCGUGAGACAGUUCGGUCCCUAUCCGUCGUGGGCGUAGGAAAUUUGAGAGGAGCUGUCCUUAGUACGAGAGGACCGGGAUGGACAUACCUCUGGUGUACCAGUUGUCGUGCCAACGGCAUAGCUGGGUAGCUAUGUGUGGACGGGAUAAGUGCUGAAAGCAUCUAAGCAUGAAGCCCCCCUCAAGAUGAGAUUUCCCAACUUCGGUUAUAAGAUCCCUCAAAGAUGAUGAGGUUAAUAGGUUCGAGGUGGAAGCAUGGUGACAUGUGGAGCUGACGAAUACUAAUCGAUCGAAGACUUAAUCAA